GCGCCUAUGGCGGAACUGGCAGACGCGAAGGAUUUAGGAUCCUUUGGGAAACCGUGCAGGUUCAAGUCCUGUUAGGCGCA
RNAcentral lists this transfer RNA (80 nucleotides) under Lachnospiraceae bacterium. RNAcentral describes it as "tRNA-Leu". It matches the Rfam family "tRNA". From Rfam's summary of the family: Transfer RNA (tRNA) molecules are approximately 80 nucleotides in length. Their secondary structure includes four short double-helical elements and three loops (D, anti-codon, and T loops). The record is from RNAcentral. RNAcentral also lists the same sequence under 5 other names. Lineage: Bacteria; Bacillati; Bacillota; Clostridia; Lachnospirales; Lachnospiraceae.